UCAAGCUACAAAGGGCUUAUGGUGGAUGACUUGGCACAGAUAGGCGAUGAAGGACGUGGUAAGCUGCGAUAAGCCUCGGGUAACCGCAAACAGGUAUUAAUCCGAGGAUUUCCGAAUGGAGCAAUCCACCGGGAGUAAUAUCCCGGUAUCCUGCUCUGAAAUUCAAAAUAGGGGCAGGAAGCGAGACCGGGCAAACUGAAACAUCUCAGUAGCCCGAGGAAGAGAAAAAGCCAUUGAUUCCCUCAGUAGCGGCGAGCGAAAGGGGAAUAGCCUAAACUCCGCAGCAAUGCGGAGGGUUGCGGGGCCAGACCAGGCCGUAAGGCCGGCUUCUUGCAUAUUCACAAUCGAACAGUCUGGAAAGACUGACCAAAGAAGGUGAUAGUCCUGUAGGUGAAAUGAAUAUGUAGAGGCUGGGUUUGGUACCCAAGUACAACGGGACACGUGGAACCCUGUUGGAAUCCGGCCCGACCACGGGCCAAGGCUAAAUACUAAUCUGUGACCGAUAGCGCAAUAGUACCGUGAGGGAAAGUUGAAAAGAACUCCUUUAAGGAGAGUGAAAUAGUACCUGAAAUCGUAAGCCUACAAGCUGUCUGAGGACUAUGCCUGCCGCAAGGCAGGAAUGUCUAAGGGCGUGCCUUUUGCAUAAUGAUCCUGCGAGUUACCGUAUGCAGCAAGGUUAAUCCCGAUAAACGGGAGGAGCCGUAGCGAAAGCGAGUCCGAACAGGGCGUCCAGUUGCGUGCGGUAGACCCGAAGCUGGGUGAUCUAUUCUUGGCCAGGCUGAAGCGUGGGUAAAACCACGUGGAGGGCCGAACCCAUCAGUGUUGAAAAACUGUGGGAUGAGCUGAGAAUUGGAGCGAAAGACUAAUCAAACCCAGAAAUAGCUGGUUCUCCCCGAAAUAACUCUAGGGUUAGCCUUGUGUCAAUGGGCGACGGGGGUAGAGUACUCGAUGGGCUAAGGACCCCACCAGGUUGCUGAACCCAACGAAACUCCGAAUACCGUCGUACCUUAUCACAGGAGUCAGCCUACGAGGGAUAAGCCUCGUGGACGCGAGAGGAACAUCUCAGACCGCAAGCUAAGGUCCCUAAUAUACGUUAAGUGGCAAAGGAUGUGGAUUUACGUUGACAACCGGGAUGUUGGCUCAGAGGCAGCCAUCAUUUAAAGAGUGCGUAACAGCUCACCGGUCGAUAGCGAGUCCGCGCCUACAAUGAUCGGGGCUAAACGUAUAACCGAAGCUGCGGAUUAUACCAUCUUCGGAUGGUGUAGUGGUAGGGGAGCAUUCCACGUUAGGUUGAAGGUAGACCGUAAGGACUACUGGACGAAGUGGAAGCGAUUAUGCAGGAAUGAGUAGCGAAAAUCCCGAUGAGAAAUCGGGACGCCGAAAGUCUAAGGUUUCCUGGGGAAGGUUAAUCCGCCCAGGGUUAGUCGUGCCUAAGCUGAGGCCGAAAGGCGUAAGCGAUGGACAGUAGGGUAAAAUAUUCCUACACCACCUAUUUAGCGUUACCAGUGCAGAGUGACGCAGGAGGUUAAGCCUACCCGGUAUUGGUUGUCCGGGGUUGCGCUCGUAGAGCCGCGAAAGCGGAAUUCAAGGGGCGCGAGGUUCCCAAUCUACGGAACGGGAGAACUGGCCCACACCAUGCUGCCAAGAAAAACCUCUGUAACGAGUUAAGUAGGUGCACGUACCGCAAUCCGACACAGGUAGACGGGCAUAAUAUGCUCAGGCGCUCGAGAGAACCCUCGUUAAGGAACUCGGCAAAAUGACCCCGUAACUUAGGGAAAAGGGGUGUCUUCGUUGGUGAACCGUACAGGGGAGCCGACGGGGAUCACAGUUAAGAGGAUCAGGCGACUGUUUAGCAAAAACUCAUCACUCUGCUAAGUCGUCGACUAAAGACGAUGUAUAGGGUGUGACACCUGCCCGGUGCUGGAAGGUUAAGGGAAAGGGUUAGUUUGAGCAAUCAAACGAAGCCUAGAACUGAAGCCCCAGUAAACGGCGGCCGUAACUAUAACGGUCCUAAGGUAGCGAAAUUCCUUGUCGGGUAAGUUCCGACCUGCACGAAUGGCGUAACGAUUUGGGCACUGUCUCAACGAGGGGCUUGGCGAAUUUGUAAUACCCGUGAAGAUGCGGGUUACCUGCGACAGGACAGAAAGACCCCGUGGAGCUUUACU
Molecule: ribosomal RNA, 2165 nt
Filed under: Candidatus Omnitrophica bacterium UBA6215
Lineage: Bacteria; Pseudomonadati; Candidatus Omnitrophota
Description: bacterial LSU rRNA
Rfam family: Bacterial large subunit ribosomal RNA
Source: RNAcentral